GACGAACGCUGGCGGCGUGCCUAAUACAUGCAAGUAGAACGCAGUCGCGAACGGGUGAGUAACGCGUAGGUAACUGCCUCAUAGCGGGGGAUAACUAUUGGAAACGAUAGCUAAUACCGCAUACUGUGAGAUGGACCUGCGUUGUAUUAGUUAGUUGGUGAGGUAAAGGCUCACCAAGGCGACGAUACAUAGGCGACCUGAGAGGGUGUGCGGCCACACAGGGAUGGAGACACGGCCCAGGCUGCUACGGGAGGCAGCAGUAGGGAAUCUUCGGAGAUGGACGGGAGUCUGGCCGAGCAACGCCGCAUGAGUGAAGAAGGUUUUCGGAUCGUAGAGCUCUGUUGUUAGGGAAGCGGUAACUACCCAGAAAGGGACGGCUAACUACGUGCCAGCAGCCGCGGUAAUAC
RNAcentral lists this ribosomal RNA (407 nucleotides) under uncultured bacterium. RNAcentral's name for it is "partial 16S ribosomal RNA". It matches the Rfam family "Bacterial small subunit ribosomal RNA", at positions 28 to 526 of the family's 1533-position model. The record is from RNAcentral.